AGUGAACGUUGGCGGCGUGGAUUAGGCAUGCAAGUCGAGCGAGAACCGUAGCAAUACGGGGACAGCGGCGAAAGGGACAGUAAUGUGUAGGUACCUACCUCCGGGUUCGGGAUAGCUGCGGGAAACUGCAGGUAAUACCGAAUAACGUCUCCGGACCAAAGGUGUGAUUCCACCUGGAGAGGGGCCUGCAUCCUAUUAGCUUGUUGGCGGGGUAACGGCCCACCAAGGCGACGAUGGGUAGCGGGUGUGAGAGCACGACCCGCGUCAUUGGGACUGAGACACUGCCCAGACACCUACGGGUGGCUGCAGUCGAGGAUCUUCGGCAAUGGGCGCAAGCCUGACCGAGCGACGCCGCGUGCGGGAUGAAGGCCUUCGGGUUGUAAACCGCUGUCGUAGAGGAGGAAAUGCAGGAGGGUUCUCCCUUCUGUUUGACCUAUUCUAGGAGGAAGUACGGGCUAAGUUCGUGCCAGCCGCCGCGGAAC
Molecule: ribosomal RNA, 482 nt
Filed under: uncultured bacterium
Lineage: Bacteria
Description: partial 16S ribosomal RNA
Rfam family: Bacterial small subunit ribosomal RNA
Source: RNAcentral